Molecule: transfer RNA, 96 nt
Filed under: Butyricicoccus faecihominis
Lineage: Bacteria; Bacillati; Bacillota; Clostridia; Eubacteriales; Butyricicoccaceae
Description: tRNA-Leu
Source: RNAcentral
CGGUAAACUGGCCGAUCGGCUCGGGCAAGCGCUUCAAGGGUGUGUACGACCGCAUGGACGAUGAGGUUAUCGCGUUUGAGGGCGCGGAUUUCCGCC